AAAGCUAAUUUUAUUUUUCAAGCUAAUCUGUUCUUAUCAGUUUCAUAUCUGAUACAGUUCCCAUAGGGGGUUCAAUAUAUUAAUCUAUUUUUUGGGACCAGGCGGAUGCUCGGAGCUUAUUCCGACUUUAUCACGGGUCGACCCUGCAUUGCAUUGCAGCAAAGUAUGGCCUAGCAAUG
Atta colombica is the source of this 179-nucleotide small nuclear RNA. It matches the Rfam family "U2 spliceosomal RNA". Rfam says of the family: U2 is a small nuclear RNA (snRNA) component of the spliceosome (involved in pre-mRNA splicing). Complementary binding between U2 snRNA (in an area lying towards the 5' end but 3' to hairpin I) and the branchpoint sequence (BPS) of the intron results the bulging out of an unpaired adenosine, on the BPS, which initiates a nucleophilic attack at the intronic 5' splice site, thus starting the first of two transesterification reactions that mediate splicing. Lineage: Eukaryota; Metazoa; Arthropoda; Insecta; Hymenoptera; Formicidae. The record is from Rfam.